Molecule: ribosomal RNA, 253 nt
Filed under: uncultured bacterium
Lineage: Bacteria
Description: partial 16S ribosomal RNA
Rfam family: Bacterial small subunit ribosomal RNA
Source: RNAcentral
UACGUAGGGGGCAAGCGUUGUCCGGAAUCAUUGGGCGUAAAGCGCGUGUAGGCGGCCUAGUAAGUCCGUUCUGAAAGCCCGGGGCUCAACCCCGGGAGGCGGAUGGAUACUGCUGGGCUCGAGUCCGGAAGAGGCAAGUGGAAUUCCCGGUGUAGCGGUGAAAUGCGCAGAUAUCGGGAGGAACACCAGUGGCGAAGGCGACUACCCGGCCUGUUCUUGACGCUGAGGCGCGAAAGCUAGGGGAGCAAACGGG